UACGUAGGGACCAAGCGUUGUUCGGAUUUACUGGGCGUAAAGGGCGCGUAGGCGGCUUAACAAGUCACUUGUGAAAUCUCCGGGCUUAACUCGGAACGGCCAAGUGAAACUGUCAAGCUAGAGUGCAGAAGGGGCAAUCGGAAUUCUCGGUGUAGCGGUGAAAUGCGUAGAUAUCGAGAGGAACACCUGCGGCGAAGGCGGGUAGCUGGGACGACACUGACGCUGAUGCGCGAAAGCCAGGGGAGCGAACGGG
RNAcentral lists this ribosomal RNA (253 nucleotides) under uncultured bacterium. RNAcentral describes it as "partial 16S ribosomal RNA". It matches the Rfam family "Bacterial small subunit ribosomal RNA", at positions 524 to 776 of the family's 1533-position model. The record is from RNAcentral.